UAGCUACAGGCUUAACACAUGCAAGUCGAGGGGCAGCAUGGUCUUAGCUUGCUAAGGCCGAUGGCGACCGGCGCACGGGUGAGUAACGCGUAUCCAACCUGCCUUACACUCUUGGACAGCCUUCUGAAAGGGAGAUUAAUACAAGAUGUUAUCAUGAGUAAGCAUUUUCGCAUGAUUAAAGGUUUACCGGUGUAAGAUGGGGAUGCGUUCCAUUAGAUAGUAGGCGGGGUAACGGCCCACCUAGUCUUCGAUGGAUAGGGGUUCUGAGAGGAAGGUCCCCCACAUUGGAACUGAGACACGGUCCAAACUCCUACGGGAGGCAGCAGUGAGGAAUAUUGGUCAAUGGACGAGAGUCUGAACCAGCCAAGUAGCGUGAAGGAUGAAGGUUCUAUGGAUUGUAAACUUCUUUUAUACGGGAAUAAACGAAUCCACGUGUGGAUUUUUGCAUGUACCGUAUGAAUAAGGAUCGGCUAACUCCGUGCCAGCAGCCGCGGUAAUACGGAGGAUCCGAGCGUUAUCCGGAUUUAUUGGGUUUAAAGGGAGCGUAGAUGGGUUGUUAAGUCAGUUGUGAAAGUUUGCGGCUCAACCGUAAAAUUGCAAUUGAUACUGGCAGUCUUGAGUACAGUUGAGGUAGGCGGAAUUCGUGGUGUAGCGGUGAAAUGCUUAGAUAUCACGAAGAACUCCGAUUGCGAAGGCAGCUUACUAACCUGUAACUGACAUUGAUGCUCGAAAGUGUGGGUAUCAAACAGGAUUAGAUACCCUGGUAGUCCACACGGUAAACGAUGAAUACUCGCUGUAGGCGAUAUACAGUCUGCGGCCAAGCGAAAGCAUUAAGUAUUCCACCUGGGGAGUACGCCGGCAACGGUGAAACUCAAAGGAAUUGACGGGGGCCCGCACAAGCGGAGGAACAUGUGGUUUAAUUCGAUGAUACGCGAGGAACCUUACCCGGGCUUAAAUUGCAACCGAAUAUGGCGGAAACGCUAUAGCUAGCAAUAGCGGUUGUGAAGGUGCUGCAUGGUUGUCGUCAGCUCGUGCCGUGAGGUGUCGGCUUAAGUGCCAUAACGAGCGCAACCCUUGCCGAUAGUUACUAACAGGUCAUGCUGAGGACUCUGUCGGGACUGCCAUCGUAAGAUGUGAGGAAGGUGGGGAUGACGUCAAAUCAGCACGGCCCUUACGUCCGGGGCUACACACGUGUUACAAUGGGGGGUACAGAGGGCUGCUACCACGCAAGUGGAUGCCAAUCCCAAAAACCUCUCUCAGUUCGGAUUGAAGUCUGCAACCCGACUUCAUGAAGCUGGAUUCGCUAGUAAUCGCGCAUCAGCCACGGCGCGGUGAAUACGUUCCCGGGCCUUGUACGCACCGCCCGUCAAGCCAUGGGAGCCGGGGGUACCUGAAGUGCGUAACCGCAAGGAGCGCCCUAGGGUAAAACUGGUGACUGGGGCU
This 1443-nucleotide ribosomal RNA is filed under the name uncultured organism. RNAcentral describes it as "SSU rRNA". It matches the Rfam family "Bacterial small subunit ribosomal RNA". The record is from RNAcentral.